ACGGGGGGUGCAAGCGUUGUUCGGAAUUAUUGGGCGUAAAGAGCGUGUAGGCGGCUUGGCAAGUCAGAUGUGAAAGCCCUGGGCUUAACCCAGGAAGUGCAUUUGAAACUGCUUAGCUAGAGUAGGGGAGAGGGAAGUGGAAUUCCUGGUGUAGCGGUGUAAUUCGUAGAUAUCAGGAGGAGCACCGGUGGCGAAGGCGACUUCCUGGGCCGUUACUGACGCUGAGGCGCGAGAGCGUGGUUAGCAAACAG
RNAcentral lists this ribosomal RNA (251 nucleotides) under uncultured prokaryote. RNAcentral's name for it is "partial 16S rRNA". It matches the Rfam family "Bacterial small subunit ribosomal RNA", at positions 525 to 775 of the family's 1533-position model. The record is from RNAcentral.